This 1290-nucleotide long non-coding RNA is filed under the name Arachis ipaensis. Its description in RNAcentral is "long non-coding RNA (AIPA_LNC000847)". The record is from RNAcentral. Lineage: Eukaryota; Viridiplantae; Streptophyta; Magnoliopsida; Fabales; Fabaceae.
CCAAACACAUUAAAAGCUAAAUACAAAAAUACAAUAGAAAUAAUGAAAAAACAACCAUUUGUACCCAUGAACUUUACGAACGCUGACAAAAGUACCCAUUAAAGAUGGAAACUAACGUUGUAUCCAUUAAAGAUGGAUUCCAUAUGACAAAAGUAUCCAAAUCCUAAAUUUAUGUUGACUUUUUAAUAAAAUUCCAGAAUUACUCCCACCAUUAUCUUCAACCCCUCUUCUCUUAUUUCCCAAAUCUCAAACACCUCCAUUGUCUAAAAAUCUUAAUCUCAAUACCUAAAAACCCCAAAUUACCAUUUUCCUAAUCCUAAUCUCAAUACCCCCUUUCAGCAAAUUUCAACCCUCUCUUUAUUCUUUUCAUCAAUUUUACCACCUCCUUCACCAACACCAUCAUCACCGCCACCGUCACCAACCGUCAACUUCAUCUUCCUCCUUUUCCACUGUCACAACCAUAAACAACAACAACUUCACUCUAACUUUUAAUUUUACUUCUCAUCAUCACUUCUCCAAUCUCAAAUCCUAUCAACACUCCAUUACCGCCAUUACCAUCACCACCCUUCCUCCAUCACUUUCAAUACAAUGUCAGAAGGAGAAGCACCUUUGGAUGUUAAAAAUUGAAACUUUGACAAGAUUGCUUUGGUGGGAUCGCAUGUGAGUAACACAAGAAUCUUUGCACAUGAUGGUGGUGAUUUGGGAGAGUGAGAAAUUUCAACUUCGUUAAUUAUAUAAUAAAUUUGUAAUUUGUACUAUUGUAAAUAUAGGACCUUUUUCCAUGGAGUCCAUGAGCUUGAAGUGGACCUAGGAGGAGUUGAAUCACACCACAGAACCUUGCACGCUGGAUCUCGGUUCAGUCUCACUUCCGGAGCUUCUCCAUCUAGCGUUGCGUGGGAACGGAUGAAUUGCCUGGUUGCCUUGUUGUCGUCUUUGUCAUCGUCAGCGUGGAAAGAUGGCGGCAGUGGUGGUUACUAGAGUAGUAGAGAAUAGAAGGUGAUUAAGGUAGUGGCAAUGGAGGUGUUUGAGAUUUGGGAAAGAAGAGAGGAAGGGUUGAAGAUAAAGGAUGGGGUAAUUCUGGAAUUUUUUAAAAAUUCAACAUAAAUUUAGGAUUUGAGUACUUUUGUCGUACGAAAUCCAUCUUUGAUGGAUACAACGUUAGUUUUCUUUUUUAAUGGGUACUUUUGCCAGCGUUCGUAAAGUUCAUGGGUACAAAUAGUUGUUUUUCCUAGAAAUAAUCUUUCAAAGGAAUAAUCUUUCAAAGUCUUCACUCCAUAAUCCUUCAUUAAA